Long non-coding RNA from Cyprinus carpio (common carp), 782 nucleotides. RefSeq lists it as uncharacterized. The transcript has 3 exons. The record is from RefSeq and is a predicted model, not a curated record. NCBI's taxonomy places the organism in Eukaryota, Metazoa, Chordata, Actinopteri, Cypriniformes, Cyprinidae.
UUGUAAUGAAGAUAAAACAAAUAAGAAGCACCAAACAUGAUGUCCCACAGCACGUCCAAGCAGUCCAAGAUCGGACAAGAACCGAAGAAGCACUGGUGGACUGCAUUGUGACUUCAAAGGGAACAGAGCAGCAUUAGUGGUACUGAAAUGGUCCUUUUUCACCAUUUAAAGAUUAGCGUUUCUAAAUGACUCACCCAGGGCUGUGAUCAUUGUCAACUUCAACAUUGUCAAUUGAUUAUCCAAUAUGCUCUUAGCUUUAUUUUUAAUGGUUAUGCCAAUUAUUCAUUGAUGGCUUUUGUAUAUAUAAAACAACACUUUUUGUUUGCCCCGCAGGAUGUUCUCAAUGGGAAACCAUCAAAGUGGUUCCCCCUAAAGCCACGUGUACCAGUAUACAUGGACAGUGAGCAGCAGUGUGCCAUUCUUUUUGAACAACUCAAAGCUCUGCUGCAUAAUUCUAAAACUCAACUGAACUUCACAGAAGUGGAGUUCAUUUGUAGUUUUCUUUUUCCUGAGGCCAUCAUUCAUGGCCUAUGUGAGCUGUAGGCAUUAUCCUGGCAGGAGGCUGAGGAGGUGUUCCUCCGUGGCCCUACUUAUCACACUAGUGAAGUUGAGGAAUUUGACAGGACGAUUGCAAAAGGAAUGAGAAAAGAAGCAACUUUCACCUACCAGAAAGUAAUUCUUUUACCUUAUGCGUUUACAUUACAUUUUACAUUUUUUUCAUUUAGCAGACGCUUCUAUCCAAAGCGACUUAUAUAUAAGGAGUUUUUUUUAAUGCAAUUGAA